This is a long non-coding RNA of Canis lupus familiaris (dog), 3509 nucleotides long. RefSeq lists it as uncharacterized. The transcript is spliced from 3 exons. NCBI's taxonomy places the organism in Eukaryota, Metazoa, Chordata, Mammalia, Carnivora, Canidae. The record is from RefSeq and is a predicted model, not a curated record.
GCCUGCUCCCUGCCUGGGGCCUAGCCUGAUGUACAAGCCCAUUGGCUGGGAUUGCUUAAAUGUCCCACACAAAUAUAAACACCUCUACAGUGUUGGGAAGAUGAAAGGAAUAGCUUAUUGAUAUUGUAUAUGCUAACGUUUGGAUGUGGGACAGGAAAGACAGCACUGAACUGCUGGUAUGCAGUGCUGAAGCUGGGCUGCAUGAAGAGGUUUUCAUUUACUGAUGUUGGAUGUGUGCCCAGACUGCCAUAGUAGAAUUCAGGGAGAGACAUAGAAAGGAGGAGAACCACAGAAUGGUUUUCGUGAACAUCCACGUGGGGCAGAAGAAUAAAUACAUAUGAAGACUAUGUUUCCAGAAAUGAAAGGACUGGCCACUGGGGAACAAUUGGGAGCCCCCUCAAGUCCCACCCUGGUCCUCUUCAUUUGUACUUGAAGACUUCAGCUAGAUCCUUGAAAUCUGAACCUGGCCUUCCACGUGCAACCAACCCUUCUGUCUUCAGGAUUUAGAAAAGACUAAUCUUGUUUUACUCUGAUGCCACAUUUCAUUUACCUGGAUGGACAGCCAACAUUGGACACUCUUCGUGUUCACCGAUCACAGCAGUUUGGACGGUGAUCAUGCAGCCUGUCUGUCAAUUUGGUGAUGGUGGUCCUCAACAGAAAGGAUUCAGUGAAAAAAAAAAUCUCUUCCUUCCACCUUAAGGUGUCUCCCUUGGAGUUAUGUGCAAGACGGAGCUGCUCAGCGUUUGCCUUUCACCCCAAGGACUCGAAAGAUCCUCGGAAACAAAGGAUUCCUCUGGGAAUCAUCCAUAAGCAUCAAAUGGAAAAUUUCCUUUCCCCCAGUACGCCUCCAUUCCACCUCCCCAUUCUGGAGACGUGAUUAUUGGCCAAAUCAGAUCAGGAACAGAAGCAGCAGGAGCUGAAAGAUGCUUGCUCUUCUGAGCGUCCCAGCUCUGGGUGUGAUAUUUAUGUGUGCAUGUGCAUAAAUAUAUAAUUAUAAAUAUAUAAUACAUAAACACCGUAAAAUACAAUUAAUCGGCUGAACCAAAAGCCCUUGCCACCGUGUCCGUUUUAAACUUUUCAGCUCCAGUGAUUUUUUUUUUUUUUUAAUAUACCAGCUUGACAAUAAAGGAGAAGGGAAAGGGGGGUGGGAAUGGGAAGGUCUCCCGAAUACAUUUUUUGACAUUUUGUUUAUUAUCAUGUUAUCUAGGCUGGUGGUAAAUGGAUGGACUUGUCAGCAGAAAUCUCUUGGUGAAGUAAAUAAAGAAUCUUAAUAGGCAAGGAGAAUAGAACUAACGGCAAAUUGCUCACAAAGAGAUCUAAUUUAUUGGUUUCGCUUUCACUGAGAUUCUGUUCUGGAUUCUGGCUUUGCCAGAAGAAACAGCUGAAUGAUGACAUGAACCCAUACGCAGAGAAAGUGCUCUAUCUGGUAGAAAAUGGGGAAAAUGUGGGGAGAGUCUCUGCGUGGCCUCAGCCCACCUUCUUCUAAAAGUUAGCUGCCUUUUUACUGCUUCGGUAGUGCCACAAAGCCAAGGCCUGGAAGGUCGCCUCCGGUUUCAUUUUCUGGUCCCUCUUAAUAAGCCCAUGCUGCAUUCAUGAAAGAAAAAUAUUCAAUGUGACCACACCAGUUAUAAUAUUAUGGUUAUUUGGGUUUAAGCAUAAUAAAGAUACCAACAAGGGUUCCUCAGUUAUUAAUAUUUUUUUCAGGUUAAAAGGCAGCAAUAAAUCAUAAAGAGCAUUUCCAAGCAGUAGCACUUUUAUAGAAAAUUGCUUGCUAUUUAAACAAAAUAUUUGCUCUUCAUCUCAGGAAAAUAUGUGGAUGCUUCUGAACAAGGAGCUAUUUUACCUACUUUCUGCCUUCUAUAAUUAGCCCAUCUUAUUUGGAAAAAAAAAAUUAUUUUUUUGAUUUGCUUGCCCGGAUCACAGCAAAAUAUAGGGCUCAAGUUUGCUUUGGCCAAAUGAACAAUUCCUUCAUUAGCAGCCUACGUUUUUCCACAGAGCGUGGGGCACUGAGUUUAAAUAGUUGCCCUCCUGUAUCCAUUCUUCUGAGAGGGCUGGAGACCUCCACGUAGUUUUCUUCUGGGCAUGGAUGAAAUAAGAUAAGGAGAGAGUUUUGAUCCAAUAGACAUGGGUCAGAAUUUCUGCCCACCUCUUGUCAAUGUAGAAUCUCCUUCAUUUAUGCACUUAGGAGAAUAACUCUCCCAUGAACCCUGAGCCCAGAGGUCCCCUCAGGAUGGGGCCAUUUAUCUCCACAAGUUGGCUUUGGGAGGGAGUUGGGAGGAGAAGGUCACCCAGAUAUUAACCUAUCUUUCUUCACUCCUGGCCUGGACUCGCUUGUUAGCAGGAAACAAUGGACAUUUAGACUCUGGCAUGGUGUCCAUUUGACCUUUCUCUACUUCAUCAUAGUCUCUUAGAGAAGCCAACAAAUUUGACUACAUCUCGGUGAUCACAUGGCUCAUGACGGUUCAUUGUUUAUGCAUUUACCCUGGAAAGAAAACGUAAUUGUGAAUAUCUGUUUAAAUAUUCCCUUCAGCCAAAAAUAACCAUGUCAGUGGCAGGUGAGAUCAGGACCAUAGGUUUAAAACAAAUGAACACAUCUUCUUCUAGGCCAACUGCAGUGCCAGUUUCAUAUUCUGAGUUAAACAUGUUUUUUUUUUUUUUCUUCUCUCUCUCUUUCUCUCUCUCUCUCUCUCUCUCUCUCAAAAAUAAGUUCCUAAAAAGAGUUCCUGGCAUUCCAAGUAAUGAUUGUAAAUCUACCAAGUUAAUUUAUGAACCAAUAAAGUCCUGUCAAGUCUCCUUCCCAUCUUCUGGAAAACAGGUCUGCAGAGAUGAAAAAAAGACCAGCUAGUUACUAAGGAAAUAUAUUCUUACUUCUCAUAUAUUCCUCUUCAGCCUUGCUUUGGAGUCGGCUUCUGUGCAUUGUGGAAUAUGGAAAUCCCUACAAACACAGAAAGUAUUUGGGGUGAUAAUGGUCUACAUUGUUAGAUGGCAAGGCUUUAAGGAAAUUAACAAUAAAUGCAUCAUUAUUAUAUCCAAACUGCCAUCAGAUUAAAUUCAAAACUCUAAAUGAAAAGCUGAGGCAUUCGGUUCCUUAGACACAGAACAUCAAAUCAAGGCUGUUACCAGAAGACAGUAUUUAAGACGUCCCCCCCCCCCUUUUCUCCUCAGUAAACACCUUAUAAAUUUGUCUGAAAUUUUCAAAUUUUGCAUUAAUUGAGGCUCCUUUGCCUGUUCAUUUGAGUUUUGGUGUGAAAAUAUAUCAAAUCUUAACACACAAAAAGCUGCUCUCUCAAGCCACAUUUCAUAACAUGAUUUCAUCAGAUGGUCUUAAUUUUCUGCAUGACAUUAUCUUUCAAGCUGACAUAAGACUGGGCUGUGAUAUUUGCAUACUCAAGACAGAACCAUGCAGCUUAACUAUGUUUCUGCUUGUGUGGGAAUUUGGGGCAUUUUUACUUUGAGGAAUCAAACAAAUAAACCUUCCAAAAAUAAAAAUAAAAAUAUUUUCUCUACUC